GAGUUUGAUCAUGGCUCAGGAUGAACGCUAGCGACAGGCUUAACACAUGCAAGUCGAGGGGCAGCGGGUAGAUGAGCUUGCUCAUUUAUGCCGGCGACCGGCGCACGGGUGAGUAACACGUAUGCAACCUGCCCGUCUCAGGGGGAUAAUCGUCGGAAACGGCGUCUAAUACCCCGUAUGAAGCUGGACGGCAUCGUCUGGUUUUGAAAGAAUAUCGGAGACGGAUGGGCAUGCGGCGCAUUAGCUAGUUGGCGGGGUAACGGCCCACCAAGGCGGCGAUGCGUAGGGGUUCUGAGAGGAAGGUCCCCCACACUGGUACUGAGACACGGACCAGACUCCUACGGGAGGCAGCAGUGAGGAAUAUUGGUCAAUGGGCGAGAGCCUGAACCAGCCAAGUCGCGUGAGGGAGUACUGCCCUAUGGGUUGUAAACCUCUUUUGUCGGGGAGCAAAAGCCGGACGUGUCCGGCUGUGAGAGUACCCGAAGAAAAAGCAUCGGCUAACUCCGUGCCAGCAGCCGCGGUAAUACGGAGGAUGCGAGCGUUAUCCGGAUUUAUUGGGUUUAAAGGGUGCGCAGGCGGAUUUUUAAGUCAGCGGUCAAAUCGUGGGGCUCAACCCCAUCCAGCCGUUGAAACUGGGGAUCUAGAGUGUGCGAGAGGUAUGCGGAAUGCGUGGUGUAGCGGUGAAAUGCAUAGAUAUCACGCAGAACCCCGAUUGCGAAGGCAGCAUACCGGUGCACAACUGACGCUCAGGCACGAAAGCGUGGGUAUCGAACAGGAUUAGAUACCCUGGUAGUCCACGCAGUAAACGAUGAAUGCUACCUGUUUGGCCAGAUUGAAGGCUGAGCGGGACAGCGAAAGCGUUAAGCAUUCCACCUGGGGAGUACGCCGGCAACGGUGAAACUCAAAGGAAUUGACGG
RNAcentral lists this ribosomal RNA (917 nucleotides) under uncultured bacterium. Its description in RNAcentral is "bacterial SSU rRNA". It matches the Rfam family "Bacterial small subunit ribosomal RNA", at positions 9 to 916 of the family's 1533-position model. The record is from RNAcentral.